CAGUAGCCGCGGUAAUGCGAAGGGUGCAAGCGUUACUCGGAAUUACUGGGCGUAAGGCGUGUGUGGGUGGUUGUUUAAGUCUGUCGUGAAAGCCCUGGGCUCAACCUGGGAAUUGCGAUGGAUACUGGGCGACUAGAGUGCGGUAGAGGAUAGUGGAAUUUCCGGUGUAGCAGUGAAAUGCGUAGAGAUCGGAAGGAACAUCUGUGGCGAAGGCGACUAUCUGGGCCAACACUGACACUGAGGCACGAAAGCGUGGGGAGCAAACAGGAUUAGAUACCCCGGUAGUCCCUGUCUCUUAUAA
Molecule: ribosomal RNA, 301 nt
Filed under: uncultured bacterium
Lineage: Bacteria
Description: partial 16S ribosomal RNA
Rfam family: Bacterial small subunit ribosomal RNA
Source: RNAcentral